GACGAACGCUGGCGGCGUGCCUAAUACAUGCAAGUAGAACGCUGAAGCUUGGUGCUUGCGCCGAGCGGAUGAGUUGCGAACGGGUGAGUAACGCGUAGGUAACCUGCCUGGUAGCGGGGGAUAACUAUUGGAAACGAUAGCUAAUACCGCAUAAGAGUAGAUGUUGCAUGACAUUUGCUUAAAAGGUGCAAUUGCAUCACUACCAGAUGGACCUGCGUUGUAUUAGCUAGUUGGUGAGGUAACGGCUCACCAAGGCAACGAUACAUAGCCGACCUGAGAGGGUGAUCGGCCACACUGGGACUGAGACACGGCCCAGACUCCUACGGGAGGCAGCAGUAGGGAAUCUUCGGCAAUGGACGGAAGUCUGACCGAGCCAAGCCGCGUGAGUGAAGAAGGUUUUCGGAUCGUAAAGCUCUGUUGUAAGAGAAGAACGAGUGUGAGAGUGGAAAGUUCACACUGUGACGGUACCUUACCAGAAAGGGACGGCUAACUACGUG
This 497-nucleotide ribosomal RNA is filed under the name uncultured bacterium. RNAcentral's name for it is "partial 16S ribosomal RNA". It matches the Rfam family "Bacterial small subunit ribosomal RNA", at positions 28 to 507 of the family's 1533-position model. The record is from RNAcentral.